GAUAACAUUUGCAAUUUGUGAUACCAUUUUUGAUAAAAUUAAUGUUUGUCCCUUUGCUUUACUGGUUUCAGUAACAUUAUUUUGGUUUAUAUUUCUAAUACCUAAUACCCAAAGUAUUACUGUAUAGCGGGUUAUUUUCGCGGGGUGUAGAUUUUCGCUUAUUUUCGCCAAUAGAACAAAAUCACCAAAAUAAAUUCCGCCAAUUUAAAAGUGUUCAUGCAAAGGUAUUGAUAAAUGUUUUAAAUCUGCCAAAAUGAUAACCACCAAAAUAUUUCGUAUACCUUAUUCAAUUCAAAUCGUAAAAUUUUACACCUGCGAAAAUAACCUGCUAUAGAGUAUAUCGAUGAAUUUCACUCCUGAAAUACUCAAGUAAAAGUCAACCAUUUCUGAAUAUAUAUUUUAUAUUUAAAGUGUUUACCAUACCUAAAAUUUUACAUGUAUAUCAUUUUUUUCAGCCCUCUUAUAUAGCCCAAC
RNAcentral lists this long non-coding RNA (474 nucleotides) under Mytilus galloprovincialis (Mediterranean mussel). Lineage: Eukaryota; Metazoa; Mollusca; Bivalvia; Mytilida; Mytilidae. The record is from RNAcentral.